This 7714-nucleotide long non-coding RNA is filed under the name Sorghum bicolor (sorghum). RNAcentral's name for it is "long non-coding RNA (SBIC_LNC015338)". Lineage: Eukaryota; Viridiplantae; Streptophyta; Magnoliopsida; Poales; Poaceae. The record is from RNAcentral.
AACGCCUCCUACAGAAUGAGCAUACCACUUUUUUGCUCUUCCUAAAAGGGAGAAUGGAAAUAAUUUCCAUUUAAGGGUUUCUUGUGUCAUGCCAGAAAUAGAUCGGCAAGAGCACAACUGCUCGAAUUCUCUAAGGUGGGUGUAUGGAUCUUCAUCUACUUGCCCAGAGAAGGGUUGCUCCUGAAUCAUGGCUAUUAGAUCAGGGCCGAGGUCGUAGCCAUCUGUAAGAAUUGGAUGUGAUGAUGGUGGUGGCUCUAAUAACUCGCCCUUUGGAGCAGAGAAUUUAUAGAUAGGAGUGAAAUCCAUGUGGUGUGGUGAAAAUGGUAAGGUGAGUGUGGUAAAAAAGGAAAAGAAAAAAGGAUACACGGACGACUUGGUUCGAAACUAGCACAGCUACCGUUCCCCGGCAACGGCGCCAGAAAGCUUGUUGGGUAUUUUAAACGCAAACAGAAAAAUCCGCAAGCGCACGGAUACCGAUGUAGCCUUCACCCGGGAGUAUUCCAGAGUAUCGAUUUUCCACAGAGAACGUGAGUGUACUAAUUAAGAUCCAAGAUCGCCCAAGGAUAACUAUAUAAUUAUUUUUGGUGGGAAGAGAGGAAGUUUCCUGAGAGUUCUCUAGUUGAUCUAAGAAUCAAGAAUUACUUCAAGAUUAUCUAUUUCGGGACAUCAGAACACUAACCACAGAAAGAGAUGAGAAGGGGGCUAGGAAGCUCUGACUACGGUCCUACAAACACCGAUCCGAACGAGGUGGAAUACGUCGACCGUUAGGGCUGUCACUACCCUAAGGCUACCACAACAAUCCGCAGGAUUGGGUGCAAUUCCAGGUAAUUGCAAGACUAAACACCACGUCUAAUCUAUUAAUUACUACUCUAAUGUUGCAAAGAUUAGAGCACUUGAUGCAAGCGGGAAUCCAAUAAAUAACUUGAAUGUAAAUAAAAGUAAUUAAAGAACUCAGGAUUAUGAAUUGAAGAACCUGGAGAACGAUGAAGAACGAACCAGUUGCUGCAAAAGUACAAUGUUGAGGAAGAUCCGACAGAUCCGGCUCCUCCUCCGCUCUCCUCUUCUCUCUCCCUAUUUUCUAGAUUACAACUAGAACUAACUAGAACUAGAACUAGAAGAACUAGAACUAGAACUAGAUGAACUAGAACUAGAUCUAGAUGAACUAGAGGUAGAACUAGAAGAACUAGAGGGAUCCUCUCUACUUGGAUGAAGAAUUGAAACCCUAACUUUGAUUCUGUAGAAGAGGUAUGCUCUCCAGGGGCCAGGGGGCCUUGCUUAUAUAGUCUUUUCAGAUGAAUCUGGGCCGUCGGAUCAAACCGACAUUGAUCGUGUGGUUUUCCUUGAAGUAUUAGGUCGGUGGAGCAUGAUCCCCGAACUUCGCCCUGAUUGGUCCAGGGGGGAGGGCGGGCGCCCAGUAAGGGAGGGCGGGCGCCCAGUGCCCGGCUCCGUUACGUCUCCCGUUCGCUCCCGUGGCUUCUGGACUCUUCUAGAUGGUAGAAAAUUGCGCGGCACGUUAAUAUCUCUAUGUAAACCCGACGUGUGGGCCUUUCUUCCGUAUUUCCUGAUAACCCCCUGCAGAAAUAGACAAACACCAAAACUUGUGGAAUUCUGUCAGAUAAAACCCUAAGUCUAGGUGUUGGUUGCAUUUAGAUCCUUUUCCAUGAUUAGUUGAUGGUUAAAUGUGAGCAUUAAGGACCGUCAACAAGCUCCCCCAAGCUUAACCUUUGCUCGUCCCUGAGCAAAGCUAAAAUCAGCAAGAAAACAGGGGUUACUUUUAUGCCUCUUACUACAGGGUUUUUAAGGUCUUAAGUGAUUGAAAAACAGAACGAUCAAGUCAAGCACUAUGUCUCAAGUUCUUCUGUCUUAGCUUUGUUCUGGAGUAUUUUUGUAAGUUCCCAAAAUAAAACUGAGGCUUUUGCCUUUUUCUCGAAGGAUAUAUAAGUAGAGCUUUAAAAGUUUUAGCAUACUUACUUUGUAUUUUGCUAUGUCAAUGCUCGGAGUAAGGGAGAGGAAUGUCAUACUCCUAGAUCAAGACCUUUGACCUUUCUGAAAAGUUUGUCAUCUCUUACUGGCAUAUUGCUUAUUAGAGGGACCAUGGGCUAUCAUUUUUUUCUCUUUUUUUUUCUUUUUUUUCAGUCUCUCUUUUUUUUUCAAGUGGGCAGCAAGUACCCCUAAUUCUACUGUCGGACACAUGUCCAUUUUUUCCACUCAGGUGGGUAUCUUUGUACCCCUAAUUCUACUUCGGACACUUGUCCAUUUUUACCUCUCGUCUCACUCUCUUCUUUUUUUUUGAAUCAAAUUUUUGCAUAGUCCCAUGCCUCUAACGCAAUAAUACUUCGGAAGAGUGAAUCUUUUAUAUUUUUAGAACAAAAAGAUCUUGAUCUUGGGAGCAUGAUAAUUCUCUCAACCAAAACUACAAGAAUUAACAAUGGCUUGAACAAAGCAAGUGCCCACAGUUUUAAUAUUUAUAUCUUAUAAGACUCUAGGUAUUAUGAUCUCAUAUAUUUUUUUAUGAAUUUUUAGAUUUUCAAAAGAUAAAAUCUCCAGAACUCUAGCAAAACUUGGAACAAGUUAAAUAGUAGCUCAGACCUUCUCAUAUCAUGUUUGUCAAUUACCUAGACUUGAAUCAAACUUUUUUUAUUUUUAUUUAAAACUUAGAAUUACACAAAACUAUUGUAUAUUACUCAAAAGAAACACUUUGUUUGGUUUCAUGGUUAUGCAUUUUUUUAUUUAUUUAUUUAUUUCCGAAUACUAGAAAAUAAAACCAAAGGAAGAAAAGUAAUACUUAUCUAGAUACACGUGGGGGUGCCUCCCCCAAGCUGGAUGUUGACAUAGUCGUUCACUCUUGUGGCCUGCAUGUUUGGUCUCACUCUUCUUAAGCUUCAAAAUCCUGCACAACCCAAAUAGACAACAAAACUCGUGGAACAUGUUAAGGGUUAGGUAAUUGUCUAGAGCUUAUGAGAGCUUAAUAUGAGAAUUCUAUGAACUCAAUCACAUCAAGUUCCUCUACCGGGUUGUUUUGUGGCUCAAGAUAGAUUUUCAAGCGUUGACCAUUUACCUUAAAAGUGUUACCUAUGUCAUCUUGGAUGGUAAUGGCUCCAUGAGUUGAAGUGUCAAUAACCUUGUAUGGUCCAUCCCACUUACUUCGUAGCUUACCAUGCCCAAAGAGCUUAACUCUUGAAUUGAAUAGUAGAACCUUAUCUCCAGGCUUAAACUCCUUGUGCUUGAUUCUCUUAUCAUGCCAUCGUUUUGUUCUCUCUUUAUAGAUCCUUGAAUUGUGGUAGGCUUUCUCUCUCCAUUCUUCUAGCUCAGAUAGUUGCAUCAGACGAUUCUCGCUAGCAAGGUGGUGAUCCAUGUUCCAUUUCUUGAGUGCCCAAUGAGCCUUAAACUCUACUUCCACAGGCAAGUGACAGGUUUUUCCAUAUACAAGUUGAUAAGGUGACAUGCCUAUGGGUGUUUUGAAUGCAGUUCUAUAUGCCCAAAGUGCAUCAGGAAGUUUGUCCUUCCACCCCUUACCCAUCUCAUCUACGGUCUUUUGUAAAAUAUUUUUGAUUUGUUUGUUAGAUGUUUCGGCUUGACCGCUAGUCUGAGGAUGGUAUGGUGUUGCGACGUUGUGUCGAACUCCAUGAUCAGUUAGGUACUUCCGGAAGAUUUUGUCGAUGAAGUGGGAACCUCCAUCGCUUAUAACUAUCCGGGGUAUACCAAAGCGAGGAAAGAUUACUUCAUGGAACAUUCUCUUGGCAUGUUUUGAAUCAGCUGAUUGACAAGGUAAGGCUUCUACCCAUUUGGACACGUAGUCCACGGCUACUAAGAUAUAUUCGCAAUUCCCGGACAUAGGGAAUGGCCCCAUGAAAUCAAUGCCCCAUACAUCGAAAAGUUCUACUUGAAGAUUAUUUGUGAGAGGCAUUUCAUUUCGUGAGUUGAUAUUCCCAUGUUUUUGACACCGGUGGCAUCUCCUGACAAAGUCCUUUGUAUCUUCAUACAUCGUUGGCCAGAAAAAACCACUUUGCCAAAUUUUAGCAUGUGUCCGAAAUGCUCCAUAGUGUCCUCCAUAUGGCGAGGCAUGGCAUCUUUCCAUAAUUUGAGUAGCCUCAACCAUAGGAACACACCUUCUCAAGAGUCCAUCAGCGCAGACUCGGAAAAGAUAUGGCUCAUCCCAAAGGUGGAAACGACUAUCGUGAAGUAACUUCCUUUUGUUUGCACCAGGUGGGACAUAGCCUUUCACUAUAAAGUUUACGAUGUCUGCGUACCAUGGAUCUGCAUGUGUUAUCUUAAGUAGGGUGUCAUCCCUUAGGUAGUCAUUUAUGGGAAGCUCAUCAUGUGUUUCCUUAUAUUGAAGCCUAGACAAGUGGUCGGCUACAGAAUUCUCAACUCCCUUCCUAUCUCGGAUUUCUAUGUCAAAGUCUUGGAGUAGAAGAAUCCAUCGAAUUAGACGAGGCUUAGCAUCUUUCUUAGUGAGGAGGUACUUGAGAGCAGCAUGGUCUGAAUAGAUUAUUAUCUUUGCCCCCACUAAGUAAGAUCUAAACUUGUCUAUAGCAAAGACAACAGCCAAAAGCUCUUUUUCAGUUGUAGUGUAAUUGAGUUGUGGUCCAGAUAAGGUUUUGCUAGCGUAGGAUAUGGCAUAAUGCUUUUUAUCCUUGGUUUGUCCUAAAACGGCACCAACCGCAAAAUCGCUAGCAUCACACAUGAUCUCAAAAGGAAGAUUCCAAUCAGGUGGUUGGAUAAUCGGGGCUGAGAUGAGUGCUUUCUUAAGAGUUUGAAAAGAUUCAUGACACUCAUCACUAAAGAUGAAAGGUGCAUCCUUAGCUAGGAGAUUAGUUAGGGGUCUAGCAAUUUGAGAGAAAUUCUUGAUAAAGCGUCUAUAGAACCCUGCAUGUCCCAAAAAGCUACGGAUUCCUUUCACAUUCGUGGGAGGUGGAAGUUUUUCAAUAACUUCAAUCUUUGCUUUGUCCACUUCUAUACCACGUUCGGACACUUUAUGUCCUAGCACUAUUCCUUCCUGAACCAUAAAAUGGCAUUUCUCCCAGUUCAGGAUUAAGUGUUUUUCUUCACAUCGCUGCAAGACUCUAUCUAAAUUCUCUAAACAAUGAUCAAAGGUUUUGCCAUAGACGGUAAAAUCAUCCAUGAAAACCUCCAUGAUUUUCUCAAUCAUGUCCGAGAAAAUAGACAUCAUGCACCGUUGGAAAGAAGCUGGAGCAUUGCACAAUCCGAACGACAUUCGUCGGUAUGCAUAAGUUCCAUACGGGCAUGUAAAGGUAGUCUUUUCUUGGUCAUCUGGGUGGAUUGGGAUUUGGUGAUAUCCAGAAUAACCAUCAAGGAAACAAAAGAAAGAGUGGUUUGCAAGCCGUUCCAACAUUUCAUCAAUGAAGGGUAACGGAAAGUGAUCUUUCUUUGUAGCCUUAUUGAGUUUUCGAUAGUCAAUACACAUACGCCACCCAGUGACAAUUCGUUGAGGGAUGAGUUCAUUCUUCUCAUUCCUAACGACCGUCAUUCCUCCUUUCUUUGGCACUACUUGGAUAGGGCUAACCCACUCACUAUGUGGCACAGGAUAAAUAAUCCCAGCACGAUAGAGUUUGAGGACCUCUUUCUUAACAACCUCUCGCAUAGCAUUGUUAAGUCUCCGUUGUGGUUCCCUUGAAGGUGUAGAAUUGGGAUCAAUAGGGAUACGAUGAGUGCAGAGAAUGGGACUAAUGCCCGUGAGAUCCUCGAGAGAGUAGCCAAAAGCUGAUCUAUGUCUUUCAAGAACAGUGACAAGUUGUUGUUUUUCAUAAUCGGAAAGCUUGUCACUGAUAAUUACUGGAGUUUUUGGGUUAUUGUGCAAGAAGACAUAUCUAAGGCCAGAAGGAAGAGGUUUUAAUUCUAUCAAAGGAGGUGAAGGUAGUUUAUUUUUGUCUAGCUCAACGGGUUCUACCAACUCUUCUUCUUCUUGAACAAAGUGUUCAUGAUUAAAGAAUGGUUGGGUCAUCUCCUCUUGAGUCACCAUUAAGACCUCCUCAAUAGGAUCUGGGUCAAGUUUGGGUUCCACUAUCGUGUUAAUUGAUCUAGCAAGAGGAACAACAAUAGUGGAAUUCCCAACCUUGAAAUCUAAAUGACCUCGUUGUGGUUGUUAUUGUAGAAGUUUCAUGAUUGGUCUGCCAAUCAAGAGAGGAAUCUCUGGUAUGUCAAAAAUGUGAAAAUCUAGACAUAUUCCAGAGUCCUUGAUUCUAACAGGAACUGCCCUUAAUACCCCAUGGCUUUCUAGAAUUAAUCUAGAUGGACUUUGUAAAAGUUUUUGAGAUGGGGUUAUGGACUCGUUGGGAUAAAGAGUGCCAGCUAACUCAUUGGAAAUAACAUUUAUCCCAACAUAUGGAUUGUAGUGGACCAUCCUAGGGGACCCUCUAAUUUGGCACAGAAGAAUGGUUGAAGGAGUGAUGAUUCGAGCUACCUCAGGAGACAGCUCAGCUUCUGUUAGCCAUUCAUAACUCAAAAUAGCCGAAAGGCUUUUGAUGUGUUCUAUGUCAACAGAUUCUACUCUUAGAACGGAUUGAGUGGUCCUUACUAGAGGUCGUGUUUGGAUAGGAAAAUUCGAGGUGUUUCCAUAAUCUUCAAAAAGAUCUUCCUCGAAUUCAAAGGGAUGCUCUAAAGGUGGUGGUUCAUCAUCCUUUAGUUGGUUUUGCAUUCCUUUAUCAGAAGGUUUCUCUACAACCAAAUUAAUGGAUGGGUCAGGUGGAAUUUCUAACUCGGUUGCAAGUUCCUCAUCUUUUGGUUUAAGAUCAGGCUCGACUUCUUUUUCUUCUUCAGGAAACUCAUCAUAAAUGCCUGUGUAAGGGGUAUUUUCAAGGAUUCUUUCUAGGAUAGCUUUCCCCUCAUUUGUGAGUUUGUGUGUGAAUGAGCCUCCUGAAGCAAUGUCGAGGUGAAGAGCAGCUUCCUUGUUUAGACCACGAUAAAAGUGGUAGUAUAGUACAUGGUCAGGCAGGGAAAGGUUUGGACCGGAAUUGGUAAGGCUUGUGAACCUAGCCCAAGCUGCUUCUAAAGUUUCCUUCUCUCUUUGUUUGAAUGUAAGAAUUUCAAUUCUAAGAUCAGCAAUUCGAAAAAGUGGGAAGAAAGCGAGACAAAAGUUGUCUCGAAGUUCAUCCCAACUUCCAUUAACGCCUCCUACAGAAUGAGCAUACCACUUUUUUGCUCUUCCUAAAAGGGAGAAUGGAAAUAAUUUCCAUUUAAGGGUUUCUUGUGUCAUGCCAGAAAUAGAUCGGCAAGAGCACAACUGCUCGAAUUCUCUAAGGUGGGUGUAUGGAUCUUCAUCUACUUGCCCAGAGAAGGGUUGCUCCUGAAUCAUGGCUAUUAGAUCAGGGCCGAGGUCGUAGCCAUCUGUAAGAAUUGGAUGUGAUGAUGGUGGUGGCUCUAAUAACUCGCCCUUUGGAGCAGAGAAUUUAUAGAUAGGAGUGAAAUCCAUGUGGUGUGGUGAAAAUGGUAAGGUGAGUGUGGUAAAAAAGGAAAAGAAAAAAGGAUACACGGACGACUUGGUUCGAAACUAGCACAGCUACCGUUCCCCGGCAACGGCGCCAGAAAGCUUGUUGGGUAUUUUAAACGCAAACAGAAAAAUCCGCAAGCGCACGGAUACCGAUGUAGCCUUCACCCGGGAGUAUUCCAGAGUAUCGAUUUUCCACAGAGAACGUGAGUGUACUAAUUAAGAUCCAAGAUCGCCCAAGGAUAACUAUAUAAUUAUUUUUGGUGG